CAAUAGCGUAUAUUAAAGUUGUUGCAGUUAAAAAACUCGUAGUUGGAUUUCUGGUGGGAGCGAUCGGUCUGGCGCUUAGCGCGAGUACUUGCAUCGUCUCCGGCCAUCCUUGGGGAGAGUCUGUCUGGCAUUAGGUUGUCGGGCAGAGGAUCCUCAUCGUUUACUGUGAAAAAAUUAGAGUGUUCAAAGCAGGCUUAUGCCGUUGAAUAUAUUAGCAUGGAAUAAUAAGAUAGGACUUUGGUACUAUUUUGUUGGUUUGCGCACCAAAGUAAUGAUUAAUAGGGAAAGUUGGGGGUAUUCGUAUUCCGUUGUCAGAGGUGAAAUUCUUGGAUUUACGGAAGACGAACUACUGCGAAAGCAUUUACCAAGGAUGUUUUCAUUAA
This 383-nucleotide ribosomal RNA is filed under the name uncultured eukaryote. Its description in RNAcentral is "partial 18S ribosomal RNA". It matches the Rfam family "Eukaryotic small subunit ribosomal RNA", at positions 592 to 976 of the family's 1831-position model. The record is from RNAcentral.